Molecule: small RNA, 58 nt
Organism: Ruminococcus sp. CAG:579
Lineage: Bacteria; Bacillati; Bacillota; Clostridia; Eubacteriales; Oscillospiraceae
Rfam family: Streptococcus sRNA SpF59 (ldcC RNA)
Source: Rfam
UGACCACUUCGCCGCAGGGCGGAGAGUUGUGGAAACGGACAGCCCGGUCAAAUGCCGA